GUGGCUAUGGUGAAGUGGUAACACGGCGGAUUGUGGCUCCGUUAUUCGAGGGUUCGAACCCCUCUAGUCACCCCA
RNAcentral lists this transfer RNA (75 nucleotides) under Allolucifera butyrica. RNAcentral's name for it is "Lucifera butyrica tRNA". It matches the Rfam family "tRNA". From Rfam's summary of the family: Transfer RNA (tRNA) molecules are approximately 80 nucleotides in length. Lineage: Bacteria; Bacillati; Bacillota; Negativicutes; Veillonellales; Veillonellaceae. The record is from RNAcentral.